CAAGUCGAACGGGAAUCUUCGGAUUCUAGUGGCGGACGGGUGAGUAACGCGUAAGAAUUUAACUUCAGGACGGGGACAACAGUUGGAAACGACUGCUAAUACCCGAUAUGCCGCGAGGUGAAACCUAAUUGGCCUGAAGAAGAGCUUGCGUCUGAUUAGCUAGUUGGUGGGGUAAGAGCCUACCAAGGCGACGAUCAGUAGCUGGUCUGAGAGGAUGAGCAGCCACACUGGGACUGAGACACGGCCCAGACUCCUACGGGAGGCAGCAGUGGGGAAUUUUCCGCAAUGGGCGAAAGCCUGACGGAGCAACGCCGCGUGAGGGAGGAAGGUCUUUGGAUUGUAAACCUCUUUUCUCAAGGAAGAAGUUCUGACGGUACUUGAGGAAUCAGCCUCGGCUAACUCCGUGCCAGCAGCCGCGGUAAUACGGGGGAGGCAAGCGUUAUCCGGAAUUAUUGGGCGUAAAGCGUCCGCAGGUGGUCAGCCAAGUCUGCUGUCAAAUCAGGUUGCUUAACGACCUAAAGGCGGUGGAAACUGGCAGACUAGAGAGCAGUAGGGGUAGCAGGAAUUCCCAGUGUAGCGGUGAAAUGCGUAGAGAUUGGGAAGAACAUCGGUGGCGAAAGCGUGCUACUGGGCUGUAUCUGACACUCAGGGACGAAAGCUAGGGGAGCGAAAGGGAUUAGAUACCCCUGUAGUCCUAGCCGUAAACGAUGGAUACUAGGCGUGGCUUGUAUCGACCCGAGCCGUGCCGAAGCUAACGCGUUAAGUAUCCCGCCUGGGGAGUACGCACGCAAGUGUGAAACUCAAAGGAAUUGACGG
RNAcentral lists this ribosomal RNA (816 nucleotides) under uncultured bacterium. RNAcentral describes it as "bacterial SSU rRNA". It matches the Rfam family "Bacterial small subunit ribosomal RNA", at positions 58 to 916 of the family's 1533-position model. The record is from RNAcentral.